GCACUGUUGAAGAGUCCCAUGCUAGAGCGAAACGAUCGUCCAGUAC
This is a non-coding RNA of Schistosoma haematobium, 46 nucleotides long. The record is from Rfam. NCBI's taxonomy places the organism in Eukaryota, Metazoa, Platyhelminthes, Trematoda, Strigeidida, Schistosomatidae.